CCCUAUCGUUUUGAGUCGUCCGGAGGCGCGAAGCGAAACGACUGUUAAGGAGUGGUAUUAUGAAAUAACUCUCCAAAUAAGGAAGGAGAGGGGAGAAGCGAAACGACUGAAUCUAAUAGGAGUGGUAUUAUGAAAUAGCUCUCCAAAUAAGGAAGGAGAGGGUCAAAGAAUUUGAGGCGAAACGACUGAUUUCAAAUAUUUUUAGGAGUGGUAUUAUUCAAUAGCUCUCAAAAUAAUAAGGAAGGAGAGGGUCAAAGAAUUUGAGGCGAAACGACUGAAUUAUCAUAAAAGAAGGAGCCCUUUAUUUGAAGAAAUAACUCGACUCCAAAUAGAGGAGAGGGGAGAAGCGAAACGACUGAUUUAAAGAAGGAGCCCUUGAUUUUCUGAAAUCACUCUCCAAAUAGUAAGGUUCGAAGAAAGUCGACUGAUAAGGAGUCAAUGAACAAGGGCGAAUUCCUUAUUCUUAACAGGAGUGCAACGAAAGAAAUCCAUAUAAACAUAAUGCACUCCUUCUCAUUGAUAAUGAAGGAGUUUCGCUCUCUCUUUAUUCAAUGAGCUUUGAUCCUUAUCUUUUUGAGUCGAGUUAUUGAAUAAUGCACUCCCACCUAAGAAUAAUAAGGGAUAAUUCCUUUCGCUCUCAAAUUCUUCUCAACUCCUCUCCUAUAUUUUUUUCUACGAGUACCUUCGCUCCUCGCAUAUUUCAUUGCGCCUCUAUUUUGAGUCGAGUUAUUUCAUUGAAUAAUAAUCGUCGGGCUCUGAACCUUAUCAGUCGAGCUGCCCUUGUUCAUUGACUCCUUAUCAGUCGACUUUCUUCGAACCUCCAAACAAACCUUCGCUCCUCUCCUUCCUAACCUCAGUCGAGCCGCUUUCGCUCCUUCGCUCCUUCACAGUCGCUUCGCUUCGCGCCUUCGCAAAUUCUUUGCUCCUUUCCAGUCGCUUCUCAACCUUUGUUCAUUGAUUCAGCUUGAAUCUUGGACUCCUUUCAGUCGAGCCUCCUCUGCUUUUUUAGCCUACGGAGUCUCUCAUUGAGGACCUUUGUUUUCUUUGAGCCUCCGCGCGCUCUUCAUUUUUCAGCGUCUUUCUCGUGGCGGGAAGAGAACAAGAGGAGGUAUCGAUAGUCGGACUGAUUUAUUCCAUAUACUUUGAGUAGGCUUUCUUCUUUCUGGUUGGUACUUAUAGAGGGCGAGCUUUAUUUAAGAGAGAAUGGGGAGUGAAUCUCAUCCGUUUUCGUUCUUGCUUUGGUUCGGGCUCCUCUCUCUCUUAUUCGUAGUUAGGAAGGGGGAGAAGGAGUCUAAAUCAAUGGACAUUAAUUCACCAUCAUUGAUGGACGUUGCACAUGACACACGAGAAAUUCGACUCAAGGUCCGGCGCUAAUAGAAGUAGCGGACUCUCCUAGUAGCGAAGGAAAAGGGCAGGGCUUUUUUCGUCGUAAUAGUGGGCCGGUCUCAUGAGAUCUAUGCCGGCCGAAUCAAAUUCAGGUCGCAGCAGAGUAAGCUACUCCAGAUGAGUUGACGCCCUCGCCUGGCGCCAUUCCCGGACCUAGCAGCAGACGGGCAGGCCGGGCCAGAAUUCAGACCAGACUCUUCUUUCUUUGAGCUGCUCCCACGCACGCAGACCGGAAGAUCUUGUCCUGGACUGGACACAGUACGUAGAGAUCUUCGUGGGACCGGGGGAGGGAGUCUCAAUCGAUCUUUUCUAGGAUUCCUUAUCACGCACGGAGAUCUUUCCAUUGUCAGAGGUGGUAUAACUACCACCUUGAAGAGACUCAGAAAGGUUAGCUUACUACCUGCCUGCCUCUACUACAGAGGUUGACUUUGUACCGCCCGGAGGUCAUAUAGAUCGGAACCCGGAGCGAUAAGAAGGGUCGGUCAAUAGCAUAGCUCUUUCUUUCCCGGGUCUCCUUUCUCCUUCGAAAGGCCUUCGCAUUCCUAAUCCGGUGGGGGGCCGGACGGCUUUCUUUGCCCCAGCUUGGCGAAUCGCAUCCCCGCGCAACGACAUUCUUUGUGCGCCCCUGACCGUUCUCGCUCAGUCUUUGCAAGGGCUGGGGAGGCAGUCUACGAAGCUCAGCCUAUCGCCCACGCCGACCAUCAAAUACGACCUUCUCAAAGAAAAGAUGGAAUGGCCGGCCCCAAGAGCGCUUAUGUCAUAUAGGAAGGCUGGAAAGAAUCCCAUAAGUUCAGAAGAAGAAGAAGUUUGAGUCAUCCGCAUCUCUGGGUCCUUUCAUCCUACAUAUUCCCACGGGGCGGUCGGACGGGUCCUCCGGCGCGAAGCGAAAGGCAUUUAUCUAAGAAAAUCAGAGAAAAGGAGUCCCUUCGCAAAUUCUUUGCCCCUAACUACGGGAGUGCAACGAAAGAAUUCCACAGGCUAAUUAAACUAGUCCUCACUGGUUUAAUUUAAACAAAGGCUGAAUUCAAGCUAAUAUGGAUAUAAACAAGUCCUACGGACGGGUUCAAAGAAGAUUUCAAGGACUCCGGACGAGUUCCAGAGGUCUCGACUGAAAGGAGAGUGAGGCGCAAAGAAUUUGCGAAUAAAGUCAAAGAAUGAUCGAAGAAUUUGAGCUUUUCAUUCCACUCAUUCAAUGCCUGAGGACGGACGUAGGACCACUCAAACUUCUGUCCUCCGGACCGGUAGGAAUAAGAGAAAGAAAAGUCCAGGUUGGUUGGUGAGCCUAGUGAUAGGAAACUAUCUAGCUUGGUUCGGAGAGCACUUGUUGGGUUCAAUCUUUCUUUCUUGCUAAAUGUUACGGCCUAAAUGCUAAACUAUUGACCCUACUUGUUCGGAUGGGUGUUCACCCCAAAGUGUUCCCGGACCACAUGCAUACAUCCGUAAGUAACUUAGUGCAACAUGGCAAAUUUCAUUGAGAGGAAUCAGUAAAGAAAAGAAAAAGGAAGA
Molecule: long non-coding RNA, 2892 nt
Organism: Cucumis melo (muskmelon)
Lineage: Eukaryota; Viridiplantae; Streptophyta; Magnoliopsida; Cucurbitales; Cucurbitaceae
Exons: 2
Source: RefSeq, a predicted model, not a curated record